GGAAAUUUUUCAUAUCAUGGUGUGCAUAUUGAUGUUUUUUAAUCUUUCUGAAUUCAGGGAAUUCUGAAUUCGGGCCCGCCAGGGGGGGGGGGGGGUUGUAGGACCCCGCGCUGAAAAAAUGCCACGGGCCCCGCGAAAGGUUAAUCCGGCCCUUUAUUGUGGCGGAUAAACAAGAAAAGCCGUUGUUUUCAAAAUGGAAAGUAAGGGAUGCAAUAAAGAUAUUUUCAUGGGGAGUUUUGUUGAUAGUAUUAAAUAGUGAACAGCUGUAAAAUCUCGAAUAGCUGUAAAAUCUCGAAUGCCG
Non-coding RNA from Paramuricea clavata, 301 nucleotides. Lineage: Eukaryota; Metazoa; Cnidaria; Anthozoa; Malacalcyonacea; Plexauridae. The record is from the annotation of a GenBank genome assembly.